Long non-coding RNA from Gorilla gorilla gorilla (western lowland gorilla), 1747 nucleotides. RefSeq lists it as uncharacterized. The transcript has 4 exons. The record is from RefSeq and is a predicted model, not a curated record. NCBI's taxonomy places the organism in Eukaryota, Metazoa, Chordata, Mammalia, Primates, Hominidae.
GAAACUUAGAGCAGACCAUAGUUUGGCUCUCAAAAUCUACACUAGACUGAUGUUUCCUGAGUAAGUACCAAAAGUUGAUCCAAGACAGAGAAGAAGAUACAUGGAGCUUAUUUGGGAGGUGCACUGAUAAAAGAUUGCAGACAUGAAAAAAGGGAAGAGAAGAAACUCUUUUCAAGAUUUAUGUUUACUAGAAGCCAUGGAUGUGAAAGUAUGUAAAAUUAUAAGACUCUGGGAAGACAGACUGAGAAUAGAGGAGAAAUAAUCUGCCAUGUUGUUAGCUCCCCUGUGAGGAGACCCAUGUGAUGAGGAACUGAGGCCUGACAACAGUCAGAAGAGUGGGCUUGGAAGUGGAUCCUUAAGCUCCAAACCUUGAGAUGAUCCCAUUUCUGGCCAACAUCUUGACAGAAAGCUGAUGCAAGACCCUGAGCCAGAACCACCCAGUUUAGCUGUACCCUGAUCCUUGACCUUGAGGAAUUGUGAGAUAAAUGUUUUCUCUCUCAAGCUUCUAAACUUUGGGGUAAUUUAUUAUGCAACAAUGAAUAACUUUUAUAUAUAUAUAUAUAUGUCAUAUAUUGUAUAUGUAUAUAAACUGUAUGAUGGAUAACAUAUAUAUGUGCCGCUAUAUAUAUAUGUUACCCAUUGUUGUAUAAUAAGUAUACACAUAUACACCCACACACACAAUUAUUAUCUAAAACCAAAUGUGGAAUUCUGGGGUAAAAUGAAAGAAAGCUUAAAGUUUCCCCAAUCUGUACUACCUCCAAAAUCUACAAAUUUACCCCAAAUGAGUAAAUACUAAAAGCUAUGCCAAACAAAGCAGCUACUGAGUGAAGGAGGAGGUUCAUCAUGAGUCCAUAGUGUACUGCAAGAAGAGGAGACUAAAGAAUUCAGAAAUCAACCAUGACCUUUACUUUGAGAUUUCUCUCUUCCUCAAAUCAGCAAGUAGGAAUACAGGGAUAAAGUGAAUGGACACAAUUCUGAGAAAAACUCUAACUCUCACCAUUCAGUUAUGAGCCAUCAGUGCCUCUCCAAACUCAGAGGGAUGAGAAACACUGAACACCAUUGAAAAGAAUUUGUAAAGACCUAUGGCUUACGCUCAUAUAUUUGAGUAUAUAUUGUCUAUCAUGGUUUUUGUUUUCUAUUCAUCUUGCUAAUCUAUAUUUUUUCAUACAUUCCUUGCCUUUUAAAUUAUUAUUUUCAUUUUCCUCCCUCUAUUUUGAAAAUUAAGAUAUAUUUUAUUCAUAAAGUGACUGACUACAUUAAUAAUUUAUACAAGCAUUGUUUAAAGUGUAUAUUAGGAAUAUCUCUAUCCUCUUCCAGAGUUUAGACCAAUGAUUCUCAAAUUUAAUAUCCACACAAAACGCUGAAAGAAUCUGUUAGACUUCUGACUCUGAUUUAGUAGGUCUGGAGUAGACCUGAGAGACUGAAUUCUAGUUACCUCCCAGGUGAAUCUGACUCUCCUGCUCCGUGGAAUAGAGUUUAAGAAACAAGGCCUUAGAGCCCCAUAAUUCCUUUCAUCCCUCAUUCUAACUAAAAUUUCCAAUUUACUAUUGUUUAUUUGAUUUCUGACUUUCAUCUUUUUAACCAGUCUAGCCAUUACUCUUAUAACUUUAUAAGUCAAGGUUGAUUUGUAGCUUUUCUCUAUCUCCAUUCUUCACUCUUUGUGCCUCAUACAGUUCUUUGGGAGUCAUUUUUCUUUCUGCUUUAUAUUAUGAUCUGCUAGUAAUAAACUUCAAUUUAAGUAUAUCAG